Molecule: ribosomal RNA, 448 nt
Filed under: uncultured bacterium
Lineage: Bacteria
Description: bacterial SSU rRNA
Rfam family: Bacterial small subunit ribosomal RNA
Source: RNAcentral
UCCAGACUCCUACGGGAGGCAGCAGUGGGGGAUAUUGCACAAUGGGGGAAACCCUGAUGCAGCGAUGCCGCGUGAGUGAAGACGGCCUUCGGGUUGUAAAGCUCUGUCGCAGAGGACGAAAAUGACGGUACUCUGCAAGAAAGCUCCGGCUAACUACGUGCCAGCAGCCGCGGUAAUACGUAGGGGGCGAGCGUUAUCCGGAUUCACUGGGUGUAAAGGGAGCGUAGACGGCCGUGCAAGCCAGGAGUGAAAGCCCGGGGCCCAACCCCGGGACUGCUCUUGGAACUGUGCGGCUGGAGUGCGGGAGGGGCAGGCGGAAUUCCUGGUGUAGCGGUGAAAUGCGUAGAUAUCAGGAGGAACACCGGCGGCGAAGGCGGCCUGCUGGACCGCGACUGACGUUGAGGCUCGAAAGCGUGGGGAGCGAACAGGAUUAGAUACCCGCGUACUA